GAAGCCCUGGCCUCAGCCCUGCCCGAUUCUCUCCUUUCAGCAUCCCAGGAGGCUUCCCUGAACAACUGCCACGCAUUUGUGGCCACCGACCAACACACAAGCCAGCCAAGGAAGUGAUCAUUUAGAGAGGAAAGAGGCACAUACAGCAAUGGUCUCGGCGGCCACCCAAAGUGCAACCAGCCCCAAGCCCCACACUGAGCUUCCUAUCCUCCCGGUCGGCCUUGCCAGCAGGGUCCCCACCGGGGUUCAGAAAAGAAGUGGAAGUUCCCUUCUGCCUAAGAGGCCGGCACAUUCCACUGACUCAGACUGUUCUGGGCACCGUGGAGAAGACACUGUUCAUUUUCCCUGGGUUGAGAACUGGCCCACAUCCGGACCUGUCGCCAGCAGGAGGGACACUUGGCGGCUCAGCACAAACAAAUGAAUGAAGAGCUAUUUUUAAUGUUCAGUUCCUGUCUUUAUUCCAGGAGGCUAGGCACCUGUGCCAGGGUUGCUCCAAGUGUGGCUCACGGGCCACCCGCAUCAGAAACACCUGGGCAGCAAUAUACAGCUUCUGGGGUCCAACUCAAAACUGGGAGUCAACCACGGUGGCAGGAAUCAGGAAUUUGAAACCCCUCCCCCAACUGAGGGUCUUGCUAAAUUGCCCAAGCUGGCCUUGAACUUGCAAUCCUCCUGCCUCAGUCUCCUGAGUAGCUGGAAUUACAAGCAUGAACCACCACCAUUCCCAUCUCAAUGAGUCUUUUGCCGAAUAUUUAAGGAUCAUUGGCUGUCUAGGUUUGUAUUCAUUCAUUCACUCAUUCAAUCAUUUAUUUAUUCAAUGAAUGAGUUGCUGAGUAUUCUCAAUAGGCACCAAGCUUAUAAGUAGAAAUACAAAGAUAAAUGCACAUGCUCUCAAUUCUGGGGUCCAAAGGAGACGCAAUGCAGCCUGAAGUGCUAAAGAAAAAGCAUGAGGAGUUCAAUACUGGGAGAAGUCAACUUGCCCAGUAGGUUGAUUUUAAGGAGGAGGGGACCUUGGUGGGCACUGGCAUCCCCUUUGGCUUGGCCAAAGUCAAGGUGGUGUCCAGCCUGUCCCCAUCUAACCAGUGUCCUCCUGACUUCCCACAGGUACUCAGUCCACAUUUGGUGAACAAAUAGAAAACCAGAAUGGCCUGGGCACCGUGUGGGAACGUGAGUCAGGAAGCCACUCCAGACUGCUUUAUCUGCACCUAGUGGUUAAGGCCUCGGGCUCUGGUGGAAACUUUAAAACAUAAAAAAAAAAAA
Non-coding RNA from Marmota flaviventris (yellow-bellied marmot), 1257 nucleotides. Lineage: Eukaryota; Metazoa; Chordata; Mammalia; Rodentia; Sciuridae. The record is from RefSeq and is a predicted model, not a curated record.